This 484-nucleotide ribosomal RNA is filed under the name uncultured bacterium. RNAcentral describes it as "partial 16S ribosomal RNA". It matches the Rfam family "Bacterial small subunit ribosomal RNA", at positions 30 to 507 of the family's 1533-position model. The record is from RNAcentral.
AUUGAACGCUGGCGGCAGGCCUAACACAUGCAAGUCGAGCGGAUGAAGGGAGCUUGCUCCUGGAUUCAGCGGCGGACGGGUGAGUAAUGCCUAGGAAUCUGCCUGGUAGUGGGGGAUAACGUCCGGAAACGGGCGCUAAUACCGCAUACGUCCUGAGGGAGAAAGUGGGGGAUCUUCGGACCUCACGCUAUCAGAUGAGCCUAGGUCGGAUUAGCUAGUUGGUGGGGUAAGGGCCUACCAAGGCGACGAUCCGUAACUGGUCUGAGAGGAUGAUCAGUCACACUGGAAGUGAGACACGGUCCAGACUCCUGAGGGAGGCAGCAGUGGGGAAUAUUGGACAAUGGGCGAAAGCCUGAUCCAGCCAUGCCGCGUGUGUGAAGAAGGUCUUCGGAUUGUAAAGCACUUUAAGUUGGGAGGAAGGGCAGUAAGUUAAUACCUUGCUGUUUUGACGUUACCAGCAGAAUAAGCACCGGCUAACUUCGUG